AGAGUUUGAUCCUGGCUCAGAUUGAACGCUGGCGGCAUGCCUUACAUAUGCAAGUCGAAUGGCAGCGUGGGAGUAAUCCUGGCGGCGAGUGGUGAAUGGGUGAGUAAUAUAUCGGAAUGUGUCUUGGAGUGGGGGAUAACUAGUCGAAAGACUGGUUAAUACCGCAUAUGAUUUAAGGAUGAAAGUGGGGGAUUGUAAGACCUCAUGCUCCUGGAGCGGCCGAUAUUUGAUUAGUUAGUUGGUGGGGUAAAGGCCCACCAAGGUGAUGAUUAGUAGCUGGUCUGAGAGGAUGACCAGCUAUAUUGGGAUUGAGAUAUGGCCCAGAUUUUUAUGGGAGGCAGCAGUGGGGAAUUUUGGACAAUGGGGGUAACCCUGAUCCAGCAAUGCCGCGUGUGUGAAGAAGGCCUUUGGGUUGUAAAGCACUUUUGUUCGGAAAGAAAUUGCCUGGGUUAAUAUCCUGGGUGGAUGACGGUACCGGAAGAAUAAGCACCGGUUAACUACGUGUUAGCAGCUGUGGUAAUACGUAGGGUGCAAGCGUUAAUCGGAAUUACUGGGCGUAAAGCGUGCGUAGGCGGUUGUGCAAGACAGAGGUGAAAUUCUCGGGUUUAACCUGGGAAUUGCCUUUGUGAUUGCACGGCUAGAGUGUGUUAGAGGGGGGUAGAAUUCCACGUGUAGCAGUGAAAUGCGUAGAUAUGUGGAGGAAUACCGAUGGUGAAGGUAGCCCCCUGGGAUAACACUGACGCUCAUGCACGAAAGCGUGGGGAGUAAAUAGGAUUAGAUAUCCUGGUAGUCCACGCCUUAAAUGAUGUCAACUAGUUGUUGGGGAUUAAUUUCCUUGGUAACGCAGUUAAUGCGUGAAGUUGACCGCCUGGGGAGUAUGGUCGCAAGAUUAAAACUCAAAGGAAUUGACCGG
RNAcentral lists this ribosomal RNA (913 nucleotides) under uncultured Ralstonia sp. Its description in RNAcentral is "bacterial SSU rRNA". It matches the Rfam family "Bacterial small subunit ribosomal RNA", at positions 8 to 917 of the family's 1533-position model. Lineage: Bacteria; Pseudomonadati; Pseudomonadota; Betaproteobacteria; Burkholderiales; Burkholderiaceae. The record is from RNAcentral.